Molecule: ribosomal RNA, 922 nt
Filed under: bacterium enrichment culture clone PAH13-P1
Lineage: Bacteria
Description: bacterial SSU rRNA
Rfam family: Bacterial small subunit ribosomal RNA
Source: RNAcentral
UAUGCUUAACACAUGCAAGUCGAACGGCAGCACGAGAGAGCUUGCUCUCUUGGUGGCGAGUGGCGGACGGGUGAGUAACGCGUAAGAAUCUGCCUAGUAGUGGGGGAUAACUCGGGGAAACUCGAGCUAAUACCGCAUACGCCCUACGGGGGAAAGUGGGGGACCUUCGGGCCUCACGCUAUUAGAUGAGCUUGCGUUGGAUUAGCUAGUUGGUGAGGUAAUGGCUCACCAAGGCGACGAUCCAUAGCUGGUCUGAGAGGACGAUCAGCCACACUGGGACUGAGACACGGCCCAGACUCCUACGGGAGGCAGCAGUGGGGAAUAUUGGACAAUGGGCGCAAGCCUGAUCCAGCAAUACCGCGUGUGUGAAGAAGGCCUGCGGGUUGUAAAGCACUUUCAAUUGUGAAGAAAAGCUUGGGGUUAAUAGCCCCGAGUCUUGACGUUAACUUUAGAAGAAGCACCGGCUAACUCUGUGCCAGCAGCCGCGGUAAUACAGAGGGUGCGAGCGUUAAUCGGAAUUACUGGGCGUAAAGCGUGCGUAGGCGGUUUAGUAAGUCAGAUGUGAAAGCCCUGGGCUUAACCUGGGAACUGCAUUUGAAACUGCUGAACUAGAGUGUGGUAGAGGGAAGUGGAAUUCCGGGUGUAGCGGUGAAAUGCGUAGAUAUCCGGAGGAACACCAGUGGCGAAGGCGACUUCCUGGACCAACACUGACGCUGAGGUACGAAAGCGUGGGUAGCAAACAGGAUUAGAUACCCUGGUAGUCCACGCCGUAAACGAUGUCAACUAGUUGUUGGGAGCAUUCUGGCUUUUAGUAACGUAGCUAACGCGAUAAGUUGACCGCCUGGGGAGUACGGCCGCAAGGUUAAAACUCAAAGGAAUUGACGGGGGCCCGCACAAGCGGUGGAGCAUGUGGUUUAAUUCG